UUAAGAAAUUAAGGGCGCACGGAGAAUGCCUUGGUAGUAAGAGCCGAUGAAGGACGUGAUAAGCUGCGAUAAGCUAAGACAAGCUGCAAUGGAGCGUAAUAGUCUUAGAUUUCCGAAUGGGACAACCUACUAGUUUGAAGAACUAGUGUGGAAACGGGAACCGGAUGAACUGAAACAUCUAAGUAAUCCGAGGAAGAGAAAGUAAAAACGAUUCCCUAAGUAGCGGCGAGCGAACGGGGAAGAGCCCAAACCGAAUAAGUGUGAUAGCUUGCAGGCGUUGCUUAUUGGGGGUAGUGGGAUACAAAGUAGCAGAUCUGCAAAGUCUGCGCUUGACUAAUCGAGGUACUAGAAUGAACUGGAAAGUUCAACCGUAGAAGGUGAUAGUCCUGUAUAGGGAACUCAGAUUAGAGAGUCAUUGUAAUCCCAAGUAGCACGGGACACGAGAAACCCUGUGUGAAUCAGCGAGGACCAUAUCUCGUAAGGCUAAAUACUCUUACUAACCGAUAGUGAAUAGUACCGUGAGGGAAAGGUGAAAAGAACCCCGGGAGGGGAGUGAAAUAGAACCUGAAACCGUGUGCUUACAAGCGGUCAGAGCAGAGCCUUCGGGCGUGUGAUGGCGUGCCUUUUGGAGAAUGAUCCUGCGAGUUACGAUCAAUGGCGAGGUUAAGUAUAACGGAGCCGAAGGGAAACCGAGUCUGAAUAGGGCGAAUUAGUCGUUGGUUGUAGACGCGAAACCUGGUGAUCUAUGCCUGUCCAAGAUGAAGCUGUGGUAAGACACAGUGGAGGUCUGAACCCACCGUCGUUGAAAAGCCGGGGGAUGAGGUAGGUAUAGGGGUGAAAAGCCAAUCGAACCAGGAGAUAGCUCGUUCUCUCCGAAAUGCAUUUAGGUGCAGCCUUGAUUGUUUAAAUAUGGGGGUAGAGCACUGAAUGGUCUAGCGGGCAUAUUGCUUAGCGAAAUCAAUCAAACUCCGAAUACCAUAUUUCAAGAGAUCAGGAGUGAGACUAUGGGUACUAAGAUCCAUGGUCAAAAGGGAAACAGCCCAGACCACCAACUAAGGUCCCAAAUUAUAUCUAAGUGGGAAAGGAGGUGGAGAUUCUGAAACAACCAGGAUGUUGGCUUAGAAGCAGCCAUACAUUUAAAGAGUGCGUAAUAGCUCACUGGUCGAGAGUCUCUGCGCCGACAAUGUAACGGGGCUAAGAUAUAAACCGAAGUUGUGGAGUAUACACUAUGUGUAGACUGGUAGGAGAGCGUUCCGUAGGCCGUUGAAGGAUAAGGGGUGACCCAAUCUGGAGGUAUCGGAAGUGAGAAUGCAGGAAUGAGUAGCGAGAAAGAGGGUGAGAAUCCCUCUCGCCGGAAAACCAAGGUUUCCAGAGUAAAGCUUGUCUUCUCUGGGUAAGCCGGGACCUAAGCCGAGGCUAGAUUGCGUAGGCGAAUGGAAAGCAGUUUAAUAUUACUGCGCCACUAUAAUUUGUUUGAGAGAUGGAGGGACGCAGAAGGGUAUGUGCGCAGACUGUUGGAUAUGUCUGUGUAAGCAUGUAGGAUGGAACCGCAGGAAAAUCCACGGUUUUAGAUCUGAGGUGUGAUGCGGAGUGUUUGUAAUGAACACGAAGGUACAAAUCCCACGCUGCCGAGAAAAGCUUCUAUUGAGAAUUAAAGUGCCCGUACCGUAAACCGACACAGGUGGUUAGGAUGAGAAAUCUAAGGCGUACAGGCUAACUCUCGCUAAGGAACUCUGCAAAAUGGCCCCGUAACUUCGGGAGAAGGGGUGCCAUUAAAGGUAAUAGAAACACGCGUUCUAGAGCUUUUGAUGGCCGCAGUGAAGAGAUUCGAGCAACUGUUUAGCAAAAACACAGGUCUAUGCUAAGCUGAAAGGCGAUGUAUAUGGGCUGACACCUGCCCAGUGCCGGAAGGUUAAGAGGAGGGUUUAGCGACUCAAAUUGAAGCCCCGGUGAACGGCGGCCGUAACUAUAACGGUCCUAAGGUAGCGAAGUACCUUGUCGGGUAAAUUCCGACCCGCAUGAAUGGCGUAACGAGUUGGGCGCUGUCUUGAUGAUAGACUCAGUGAAUUUGUAGUGCCGGUGAAAAUGCCGGCUACCCGCAGCAGGACGGAAAGACCCCGUGCACCUUUACUAUA
This 2135-nucleotide ribosomal RNA is filed under the name marine sediment metagenome. Its description in RNAcentral is "bacterial LSU rRNA". It matches the Rfam family "Bacterial large subunit ribosomal RNA", at positions 1 to 2108 of the family's 2925-position model. The record is from RNAcentral.